CCUACGGGAGGCUGCAGUGAGGAAUAUUGGUCAAUGGGCGCGAGCCUGAACCAGCCAAGCAGCGUGAAGGAUGACUGCCCUACGGGUUGUAAACUUCUUUUAUAAAGGAACAAAGUGAGGCUCGAGUGCCUGUUUGUGUGUACUUGAUGAAUAAGGAUCGGCUAACUCCGUGCCAGCAGCCGCGGUAAUACGGAGGAUCCGAGCGUGAUCCGGAUUUAUUGGGUUUAAAGGGAGCGUAGAUGGGUUGUUAAGUCAGUGGUGAAAGUUUGCGGCUCAACCGUAAAAUUGCAAUUGAUACUGGCAGUCUUGAGUACAGUUGAGGUAGGCGGAAUUCGUGGUGUAGCGGUGAAAUGCUUAGAUAGCACGAAGAACUCCGAUUGCGAAGGCAGAUUACUAAACUGCCACUGACAUUGAGGCUCGAAAGUGUGGGUAUCAAACAGGAGUAGAUACCCGUGUAGUC
Molecule: ribosomal RNA, 460 nt
Filed under: uncultured bacterium
Lineage: Bacteria
Description: partial 16S ribosomal RNA
Rfam family: Bacterial small subunit ribosomal RNA
Source: RNAcentral